This 864-nucleotide ribosomal RNA is filed under the name Enterobacter hormaechei. RNAcentral's name for it is "partial 23S ribosomal RNA". It matches the Rfam family "Bacterial large subunit ribosomal RNA", at positions 419 to 1284 of the family's 2925-position model. The record is from RNAcentral. Lineage: Bacteria; Pseudomonadati; Pseudomonadota; Gammaproteobacteria; Enterobacterales; Enterobacteriaceae.
GGGACACGUGGUAUCCUGUCUGAAUAUGGGGGGACCAUCCUCCAAGGCUAAAUACUCCUGACUGACCGAUAGUGAACCAGUACCGUGAGGGAAAGGCGAAAAGAACCCCGGCGAGGGGAGUGAAAAAGAACCUGAAACCGUGUACGUACAAGCAGUGGGAGCACCUUCGGGUGUGACUGCGUACCUUUUGUAUAAUGGGUCAGCGACUUAUAUUCUGUAGCAAGGUUAACCGUAUAGGGGAGCCGAAGGGAAACCGAGUCUUAACUGGGCGUUAAGUUGCAGGGUAUAGACCCGAAACCCGGUGAUCUAGCCAUGGGCAGGUUGAAGGUUGGGUAACACUAACUGGAGGACCGAACCGACUAAUGUUGAAAAAUUAGCGGAUGACCUGUGGCUGGGGGUGAAAGGCCAAUCAAACCGGGAGAUAGCUGGUUCUCCCCGAAAGCUAUUUAGGUAGCGCCUCGUGAACUCAUCUUCGGGGGUAGAGCACUGUUUCGGCUAGGGGGCCAUCCCGGCUUACCAACCCGAUGCAAACUACGAAUACCGAAGAAUGUUAUCACGGGAGACACACGGCGGGUGCUAACGUCCGUCGUGAAGAGGGAAACAACCCAGACCGCCAGCUAAGGUCCCAAAGUCAUGGUUAAGUGGGAAACGAUGUGGGAAGGCACAGACAGCCAGGAUGUUGGCUUAGAAGCAGCCAUCAUUUAAAGAAAGCGUAAUAGCUCACUGGUCGAGUCGGCCUGCGCGGAAGAUGUAACGGGGCUAAACCAUGCACCGAAGCUGCGGCAGCGACGCUUAUGCGUUGUUGGGUAGGGGAGCGUUCUGUAAGCCGUUGAAGGUGUGCUGUGAGGCAUGCUGGAGGUAUCA